CUACGGGGGGCAGCAGGCGCGGAACCUUUACAAUGCACGCAAGUGUGAUAAGGGAACCCUCAGUGCUCAUGUUUUACAUGGGCUUUUGCCAAGCGUAAAUAGCUUGGCGAAUAAGUGGUGGGUAAGACUGGUGCCAGCCGCCGCGGUAACACCAGCGCCACGAGUGGCAACCACGUUUAUUGGGCCUAAAGCGUCCGUAGCCGGCUUGGUAAAUCUCUUGUGAAAUCGUCAGGCUUAACCUGACGGCGCGCUCGAGACACUGCCUCGCUUGAGACCGGGAGGAGUGAGAGGUAUUCCUGAGGGAGCGGUAAAAUGUGAUAAUCUCAGGAGGAUCACCUAUGGCGAAGGCAUCUCACCAGAACGGAUCUGACGGUCAGGGACGAAGGCUAGGGGAGCGAUCCGGAUUAGAUACCCUGGUAGUC
RNAcentral lists this ribosomal RNA (422 nucleotides) under uncultured archaeon. Its description in RNAcentral is "partial 16S ribosomal RNA". It matches the Rfam family "Archaeal small subunit ribosomal RNA", at positions 323 to 746 of the family's 1478-position model. The record is from RNAcentral.